This 938-nucleotide ribosomal RNA is filed under the name uncultured Basidiomycota. Its description in RNAcentral is "eukaryotic LSU rRNA". It matches the Rfam family "Eukaryotic large subunit ribosomal RNA", at positions 1 to 921 of the family's 3401-position model. The record is from RNAcentral. Lineage: Eukaryota; Fungi; Basidiomycota.
UUCUUGACCUCAAAUCAGGUAGGACUACCCGCUGAACUUAAGCAUAUCAAUAAGCGGAGGAAAAGAAACUAACAAGGAUUCCCCUAGUAACUGCGAGUGAAGCGGGAAAAGCUCAAAUUUAAAAUCUGGCGGUCUCUGGCCGUCCGAGUUGAUAAUCUAGAGAAGUGAUGCCCGCGCUGGACCGUGUACAAGUCUCCUGGAAUGGAGCGUCAUAGAGGGUGAGAAUCCCGUCUUUGACACGGACUACCAGGGCUUUGUGGUACGCUCUCAAAGAGUCGAGUUGUUUGGGAAUGCAGCUCUAAAUGGGUGGUAAAUUCCAUCUAAAGCUAAAUAUUGGCGAGAGACCGAUAGCGAACAAGUACCGUGAGGGAAAGAUGAAAAGAACUUUGGAAAGAGAGUUAAACAGUACGUGAAGUUGCUGAAAGGGAAACGCUUGAAGUCAGUCACGUUGGCCGGGAAUCAGCCUCGCUUUUGCGUGGUGUACUUUCUGGUUGACGGGUCAGCAUCAAUUUUGACCGCUGGAAAAAGGCUUAGGGAAUGUGGCAGCUUCGGCUGUGUUAUAGCCCUUUGUCACAUACAACGGUUGGGAUUGAGGAACUCAGCACGCCGCAAGGCCGGGUUUCGACCACGUUCGUGCUUAGGAUGCUGGCAUAAUGGCUUUAAGCGACCCGUCUUGAAACACGGACCAAGGAGUCUAACAUGCCUGCGAGUGUUUGGGUGGAAAACCCGAGCGCGUAAUGAAAGUGAAAGUUGAGAUCCCUGUCGUGGGGAGCAUCGACGCCCGGACCUGAACUUUUGUGACGGAUCCGCGGUAGAGCAUGUAUGUUGGGACCCGAAAGAUGGUGAACUAUGCCUGAAUAGGGCGAAGCCAGAGGAAACUCUGGUGGAGGCUCGUAGCGAUUCUGACGUGCAAAUCGAUCGUCGAAUUUGGGUAUAGG